Molecule: microRNA precursor, 94 nt
Organism: Gossypium arboreum
Lineage: Eukaryota; Viridiplantae; Streptophyta; Magnoliopsida; Malvales; Malvaceae
Rfam family: mir-166 microRNA precursor family
About the family: This family represents the plant microRNA (miRNA) precursor mir-166. Animal miRNAs are transcribed as ~70nt precursors and subsequently processed by the Dicer enzyme to give a ~22nt product.
Source: Rfam
GUUGCGGGGAAUGUUGUCUGGUUCGAAGUCAUUCAUGUGAAUGUUUUAAACGACCUUUGUGAAUGAUUUCGGACCAGGCUUCAUUCCCCCCAAC